AUGCACGCUGGCGGCGUGCCUCAUCCAUGCAAGUCGAGCGAACAGAUGAGGAGCUUGCUCCUCUGACGUUAGCGGCGGACGGGUGAGUAACACGUGGAUAACCUACCUAUAAGACUGGGAUAACUUCGGGAAACCGGAGCUAAUACCGGAUAAUAUAUUGAACCGCAUGGUUCAAUAGUGAAAGACGGUUUUGCUGUCACUUAUAGAUGGAUCCGCGCCGCAUUAGCUAGUUGGUAAGGUAACGGCUUACCAAGGCAACGAUGCGUAGCCGUCCUGAGAGGGUGAUCGGCCACACUGGAACUGAGACACGGUCCAGACUCCUACGGGAGGCAGCAGUAGGGAAUCUUCCGCAAUGGGCGAAAGCCUGACGGAGCAACGCCGCGUGAGUGAUGAAGGUCUUCGGAUCGUAAAACUCUGUUAUUAGGGAAGAACAAAUGUGUAAGUAACUAUGCACGUCUUGACGGUACCUAAUCAGAAAGCCACGGCUAACUACGUG
This 496-nucleotide ribosomal RNA is filed under the name uncultured bacterium. RNAcentral's name for it is "partial 16S ribosomal RNA". It matches the Rfam family "Bacterial small subunit ribosomal RNA", at positions 29 to 507 of the family's 1533-position model. The record is from RNAcentral.